AACGCACAUUGCGCCCCUUGGUAUUCCGAGGGGCAUGCCUGUUCGAGCGUCAUUAUGACCACUCAAGCCUAGCUUGGUAUUGGGGUUCGCGGUCUCGCGGCCUCUAAAAUCAGUGGCGGUGCCGUCUGGCUCUAAGCGUAGUAAUUUUCUCGCUAUGGGGUCCGGACAGUUACUUGCCUAAACCCUAACUUCUCACGGUUGACCUCGGAUCAGGUAGGGAUACCCGCUGAACUUAA
Molecule: unclassified non-coding RNA, 236 nt
Filed under: uncultured fungus
Lineage: Eukaryota; Fungi
Description: sequence contains ITS2
Rfam family: 5.8S ribosomal RNA (bases 1-52)
Source: RNAcentral